This 228-nucleotide ribosomal RNA is filed under the name uncultured bacterium. RNAcentral describes it as "partial 16S ribosomal RNA". It matches the Rfam family "Bacterial small subunit ribosomal RNA", at positions 57 to 305 of the family's 1533-position model. The record is from RNAcentral.
GCAAGUCGAACGAGAAGCUUCUUCGGAAGUGGACAGUGGCAGACGGGUGAGUAACGCGUGGGGAUCUGCCCAGAGGUUCGGAACAACCAUUGGAAACGAUGGCUAAUACCGGAUAAGCCCCUAGGGGGAAAGAUUUAUUGCCUUUGGAUGAACCCGCGUAAGAUUAGCUAGUUGGUGAGGUAAUGGCUCACCAAGGCAACGAUCGGUAGCUGGUCUGAGAGGAUGAUC